Molecule: transfer RNA, 74 nt
Organism: Tenacibaculum soleae
Lineage: Bacteria; Pseudomonadati; Bacteroidota; Flavobacteriia; Flavobacteriales; Flavobacteriaceae
Rfam family: tRNA
About the family: Transfer RNA (tRNA) molecules are approximately 80 nucleotides in length. Their secondary structure includes four short double-helical elements and three loops (D, anti-codon, and T loops).
Source: Rfam
GCCGAUGUAGCUCAGCUGGCUAGAGCAGCUGAUUUGUAAUCAGCAGGUCGGAGGUUCGAGUCCUCUCAUCGGCU